RNAcentral lists this long non-coding RNA (305 nucleotides) under Nicotiana benthamiana. RNAcentral describes it as "long non-coding RNA (NBEN_LNC041490)". Lineage: Eukaryota; Viridiplantae; Streptophyta; Magnoliopsida; Solanales; Solanaceae. The record is from RNAcentral.
UUCUCCUUGAUAAGUUGCUGGAAGUCCUUGUGAUUAGCCCAUACAUUAUAGAAUCUGAAGGGAGCCUUCCUGAUCAUAGUAUCUUCAGUCAGAGUGAGCCAUUGGCUUAUGAUCAGAGAUUAGAGGGGGGUCAUAUACAGUUUGUACAUGACUCCAUUUAAGCAUCCAAUCAUAAUCACCAAAUAUUCUGUCCAAUCUGCUACAAACUCUAUCAUUGCCAGUUUGUUUGUUGGUCCAUGUGAAGAAUUCCCCUUUUAAGGAAGUUCUGAUAACUCAUCCAGUUGAAUACAUUGAGCAAAAUCCAG